Long non-coding RNA from Centropristis striata (black sea bass), 475 nucleotides. RefSeq lists it as uncharacterized. The transcript has 3 exons. The record is from RefSeq and is a predicted model, not a curated record. NCBI's taxonomy places the organism in Eukaryota, Metazoa, Chordata, Actinopteri, Perciformes, Serranidae.
UCCCUGCGCGGACAGAGCUCUGGUUUCUCCAAGUGCGCACGGCGGCUGCUGCUGAGGGAGCGACUCCUCCUGCCGUACCCAGACGCGUCCUGAGCAACCUGCGCUCUCGGGGUGGAUAUUAAAAACAUUAUUUAACCCGGCAGAGGAACCCCGUGAACCGCUCCUCACUGGACCUGCCGCAGGGACGCACACACAAACCCCGGGGAUUAUUGCUUGUUUUAAUCAUGAAGAUGUGAGGGUUUAUAAGCUGAGAAGAAAGAAAGAGGAACUCCGAGGCUGACAAAAAAGGUACAAGUGAGCGAGUAACAAGAAGAAGAAGAAGAAGAAGAAGAAGGCGCUCGAGCAGCUGAAGAUAUGAAGCUAAAGAGGUUUUGAAAACAACCCAGUGAGUGCCAAGCCGUCCUGCGUGAAGACCCCAGCCUUCCCUGCGCAGUCGGGGGCCUCGGCUCUCCAGCCAGGUCAAAGAUCAGUCCCA